This 1423-nucleotide ribosomal RNA is filed under the name Periwinkle virescence phytoplasma. RNAcentral describes it as "bacterial SSU rRNA". It matches the Rfam family "Bacterial small subunit ribosomal RNA". Lineage: Bacteria; Bacillati; Mycoplasmatota; Mollicutes; Acholeplasmatales; Acholeplasmataceae. The record is from RNAcentral.
CGAACGGAAGUUUAAGCAAUUAAACUUUAGUGGCGAACGGGUGAGUAACGCGUAAGCAAUCUGCCCCUAAGACGAGGAUAACAGUUGGAAACGACUGCUAAGACUGGAUAGGAGACAAGAAGGCAUCUUCUUGUUUUUAAAAGACCUAGCAAUAGGUAUGCUUAGGGAGGAGCUUGCGUCACAUUAGUUAGUUGGUGGGGUAAAGGCCUACCAAGACUAUGAUGUGUAGCCGGGCUGAGAGGUUGAACGGCCACAUUGGGACUGAGACACGGCCCAAACUCCUACGGGAGGCAGCAGUAGGGAAUUUUCGGCAAUGGAGGAAACUCUGACCGAGCAACGCCGCGUGAACGAUGAAGUAUUUCGGUACGUAAAGUUCUUUUAUUAGGGAAGAAUAAAUGAUGGAAAAAUCAUUCUGACGGUACCUAAUGAAUAAGCCCCGGCUAACUAUGUGCCAGCAGCCGCGGUAAUACAUAGGGGGCAAGCGUUAUCCGGAAUUAUUGGGCGUAAAGGGUGCGUAGGCGGUUAAAUAAGUUUAUGGUCUAAGUGCAAUGCUCAACAUUGUGAUGCUAUAAAAACUGUUUAGCUAGAGUAAGAUAGAGGCAAGUGGAAUUCCAUGUGUAGUGGUAAAAUGCGUAAAUAUAUGGAGGAACACCAGUAGCGAAGGCGGCUUGCUGGGUCUUUACUGACGCUGAGGCACGAAAGCGUGGGGAGCAAACAGGAUUAGAUACCCUGGUAGUCCACGCCGUAAACGAUGAGUACUAAACGUUGGGUAAAACCAGUGUUGAAGUUAACACAUUAAGUACUCCGCCUGAGUAGUACGUACGCAAGUAUGAAACUUAAAGGAAUUGACGGGACUCCGCACAAGCGGUGGAUCAUGUUGUUUAAUUCGAAGGUACCCGAAAAACCUCACCAGGUCUUGACAUGCUUCUGCAAAGCUGUAGAAACACAGUGGAGGUUAUCAGUUGCACAGGUGGUGCAUGGUUGUCGUCAGCUCGUGUCGUGAGAUGUUGGGUUAAGUCCCGCAACGAGCGCAACCCUUAUUGUUAGUUACCAGCACGUAAUGGUGGGGACUUUAGCAAGACUGCCAGUGAUAAAUUGGAGGAAGGUGGGGACGACGUCAAAUCAUCAUGCCCCUUAUGACCUGGGCUACAAACGUGAUACAAUGGCUGUUACAAAGGGUAGCUGAAGCGCAAGUUUUUGGCGAAUCUCAAAAAAACAGUCUCAGUUCGGAUUGAAGUCUGCAACUCGACUUCAUGAAGUUGGAAUCGCUAGUAAUCGCGAAUCAGCAUGUCGCGGUGAAUACGUUCUCGGGGUUUGUACACACCGCCCGUCAAACCACGAAAGUUGGUAAUACCCAAAGCCGGUGGCCUAACUUCGCAAGAAGAGGGAACCGUCUAAGGUAGGGUCGAUGAUUGGGGUUAAG